GGAUGUGAGGGUGAUCUGGCUGCAACAUCUGUCAACCUCUUGGUGGCCAGGGUUGAUUUGGCGGAUCUGAUUUGGCUGGCUGGGCGGAUGUCCCCUGCCUCCCUCAGCGCUGCAUGUGCGUCCCUCCUGGAGCUGUGUGCUCAGUUAAGCGGACAACUGCCCGAUAGAGGAGGACCGUUCCUCGGUCAAGGGUAUACAAGUGGCUGCAUUCCCCUGCUAGAACCUCCAGACAGGCUCCCAAGAGAGAUCUGUGAGGGCCCCGUUUCUGAAUCUUAGUUAUCUGAAAUUUCUUCCCACUGUCUUCAAACAUAACUGCUGCCCAUGCUUGAUAGA
RNAcentral lists this small nuclear RNA (333 nucleotides) under Chinchilla lanigera (long-tailed chinchilla). RNAcentral's name for it is "7SK RNA (ENSCLAG00000021486.1)". It matches the Rfam family "7SK RNA". From Rfam's summary of the family: 7SK was discovered as an abundant small nuclear RNA in the mid-70s but a possible function has only recently been suggested. Two independent studies have found that 7SK RNA binds the CDK9/cyclin T complex (known as elongation factor P-TEFb). Lineage: Eukaryota; Metazoa; Chordata; Mammalia; Rodentia; Chinchillidae. The record is from Rfam by way of RNAcentral.